RNAcentral lists this transfer-messenger RNA (374 nucleotides) under Ktedonobacteraceae. Its description in RNAcentral is "JACDAE01 sp013695595 Standard tmRNA". It matches the Rfam family "transfer-messenger RNA". Rfam says of the family: Bacterial tmRNA, also known as 10Sa RNA or SsrA, is named for its dual tRNA and mRNA-like properties. The record is from RNAcentral. Lineage: Bacteria; Bacillati; Chloroflexota; Ktedonobacteria; Ktedonobacterales. RNAcentral also lists the same sequence under 1 other name.
GGGGAUGUCGGGUUUCGACAGGCGGGCAGAUUGAAGAAUUGCAGGUCGAGGUGUCGGUAAGCACUCUCGUUAAACAACCGACAAAAAAUUAGUUGCCAAAAACAACGACUUUUCGUACGCUCUCGCUGCUUAAUAACCAGUGACGUACCGUCCGUCCGGCUUUUGCUCCAUGGGGCCGGGUACGGGCGUCAAAAAACAUAGAGAUGCUCUGACGAUGACUGUCUUCUAGUCGCCAGCUAAGACCAGAGGGCCAGCGUCCAGGUAUCCUGUCGGUGGGAGACCAGGACGAAAAGUAAAAACAUCGACUAUGCCUGUAGCACAUUCUCCGGUAGGUACGUUUGGACGGGGGGUUCAACUCCCCCCCAUCUCCACCA